GACGAACGCUGGCGGCGUGCUUAACACAUGCAAGUCGAACGGAAAGGCCCUGCUUUUGUGGGGUGCUCGAGUGGCGAACGGGUGAGUAACACGUGAGUAACCUGCCCUUGACUUUGGGAUAACUUCAGGAAACUGGGGCUAAUACCGGAUAGGAGCUCCUGCUGCAUGGUGGGGGUUGGAAAGUUUCGGCGGUUGGGGAUGGACUCGCGGCUUAUCAGCUUGUUGGUGGGGUAGUGGCUUACCAAGGCUUUGGCGGGUAGCCGGCCUGAGAGGGUGACCGGCCACAUUGGGACUGAGAUACGGCCCAGACUCCUACGGGAGGCAGCAGUGGGGAAUAUUGCACAAUGGGCGGAAGCCUGAUGCAGCAACGCCGCGUGCGGGAUGACGGCCUUCGGGUUGUAAACCGCUUUCGCCUGUGACGAAGCGUGAGUGACGGUAAUGGGUAAAGAAGCACCGGCUAACUACGUGCCAGCAGCCGCGGUGAUACGUAGGGUGCGAGCGUUGUCCGGAUUUAUUGGGCGUAAAGGGCUCGUAGGUGGUUGAUCGCGUCGGAAGUGUAAUCUUGGGGCUUAACCCUGAGCGUGCUUUCGAUACGGGUUGACUUGAGGAAGGUAGGGGAGAAUGGAAUUCCUGGUGGAGCGGUGGAAUGCGCAGAUAUCAGGAGGAACACCAGUGGCGAAGGCGGUUCUCUGGGCCUUUCCUGACGCUGAGGAGCGAAAGCGUGGGGAGCGAACAGGCUUAGAUACCCUGGUAGUCCACGCUGUAAACGGUGGGUACUAGGUGUGGGGUCCAUUCCACGGGUUCCGUGCCGUAGCUAACGCUUUAAGUACCCCGCCUGGGGAGUACGGCCGCAAGGCUAAAACUCAAAGGAAUUGACGGGGCCCCGCACAAGCGGCGGAGCAUGCGGAUUAAUUCGAUGCAACGCGUAGAACCUUACCUGGGUUUGACAUGGAUCGGGAGUGCUCAGAGAUGGGUGUGCCUCUUUUGGGGUCGGUUCACAGGUGGUGCAUGGCUGUCGUCAGCUCGUGUCGUGAGAUGUUGGGUUAAGUCCCGCAACGAGCGCAACCCUUGUUCACUGUUGCCAGCACGUUAUGGUGGGGACUCAGUGGAGACCGCCGGGGUCAACUCGGAGGAAGGUGGGGAUGACGUCAAGUCAUCAUGCCCCUUAUGUCCAGGGCUUCACGCAUGCUACAAUGGCUGGUACAGAGAGUGGCGAGCCUGUGAGGGUGAGCGAAUCUCGGAAAGCCGGUCUCAGUUCGGAUUGGGGUCUGCAACCCGACCUCAUGAAGUCGGAGUCGCUAGUAAUCGCAGAUCAGCAACGCUGCGGUGAAUACGUUCCCGGG
This 1343-nucleotide ribosomal RNA is filed under the name uncultured bacterium. RNAcentral's name for it is "16S ribosomal RNA". It matches the Rfam family "Bacterial small subunit ribosomal RNA", at positions 28 to 1378 of the family's 1533-position model. The record is from RNAcentral.